AGUGAACGCUGGCGGUAGGCCUAACACAUGCAAGUCGAACGGCAGCACAGUAAGAGCUUGCUCUUACGGGCGGCGAGUGGCGGACGGGUGAGGAAUACAUCGGAAUCUACUUUUUCGUGGGGGAUAACGUAGGGAAACUUACGCUAAUACCGCAUACGACCUACGGGUGAAAGCAGGGGAUCUUCGGACCUUGCGCGAUUGAAUGAGCCGGUGUCGGAUUAGCUAGUUGGCGGGGUAAGGGCCCACCAAGUAGACGAGCCGUAGCUGGUCUGAGAGAAUGAUAAGCCACACUGGAACUGAGACACGGACCAGACUCCUACGGGAGGCAGCAGUGGGGAAUAUUGGACAAUGGGCGCAAGCCUGAUCCAGCCAUCCCGCGUGCGUGAAGAAGGCAUUCGGGGUGUAAAGCCCUUUUGUUGGGAAAGAAAAGAAGCAGGUUAAUACCCAGCUGUUCUGACGGUACCAAAAGAAUAAGCACCGGCUAACUUCGUG
RNAcentral lists this ribosomal RNA (492 nucleotides) under uncultured bacterium. Its description in RNAcentral is "partial 16S ribosomal RNA". It matches the Rfam family "Bacterial small subunit ribosomal RNA", at positions 29 to 507 of the family's 1533-position model. The record is from RNAcentral.